This 499-nucleotide ribosomal RNA is filed under the name uncultured archaeon. RNAcentral's name for it is "bacterial SSU rRNA". It matches the Rfam family "Archaeal small subunit ribosomal RNA", at positions 948 to 1451 of the family's 1478-position model. The record is from RNAcentral.
UGACAGUCAUGUUGACGACAUCCGCUCGAGCUGAUGAGAGGAGGUGCAUGGCCGCCGUCAGCUCGUACCGUGAGGCAUCCUGUUAAGUCAGGCAACGAGCGAGAUCCACGUCCCUAAUUGCCAGCACCAUCGCACGAUGGGUGGGUACAUUAGGGAGACUGCCAGUGCUAAACUGGAGGAAGGAAUGGGCAACGGUAGGUCAGUAUGCCCCGAAUGGGCUGGGCAACACGCGGGCUACAAUGGUCAGGACAACGGGUUCCAACACUGAAAAGUGACGGUAAUCUCGCAAACCUGGUCGUAGUUCGGAUUGUGGGCUGAAACUCGCCCACAUGAAGCUGGAUUCGGUAGUAAUCGCGUGUCAGAAGCGCGCGGUGAAUACGUCCCUGCUCCUUGCACACACCGCCCGUCAAAGCACCCGAGUGAGGUCCGGAUGAGGCCACAUCACUGUGGUCAAAUCCGGGCUUCGCAAGGGGGCUUAAGUCGUAACAAGGUAACCGUA